UACAGAGGUGGCAAGCGUUGUUCGGAAUUACUGGGCGUAAAGCGCACGUAGGCGGAUCAGUCAGUCAGGGGUGAAAUCCCGGGGCUCAACCCCGGAACUGCCUUUGAAACUGCUGGUCUGGAGGUCGAGAGAGGCGAGUGGAAUUCCGAGUGUAGAGGUGAAAUUCGUAGAUAUUCGGAGGAACACCAGUGGCGAAGGCGGCUCGCUGGCUCGAUACUGACGCUGAGGUGCGAAAGCGUGGGGAGCAAACAGG
This 253-nucleotide ribosomal RNA is filed under the name uncultured bacterium. RNAcentral describes it as "partial 16S ribosomal RNA". It matches the Rfam family "Bacterial small subunit ribosomal RNA", at positions 524 to 776 of the family's 1533-position model. The record is from RNAcentral.